RNAcentral lists this long non-coding RNA (798 nucleotides) under Dermacentor andersoni. RNAcentral describes it as "uncharacterized LOC126541409". Lineage: Eukaryota; Metazoa; Arthropoda; Arachnida; Ixodida; Ixodidae. The record is from RNAcentral.
CCUUGCCAAAAAACCAAAUUGAAGACCGAAAACACACAGACGCAGCGAACUAGUCUCGGGAUUUGCAAGUGCCUGGAAAAAUAAUGCUGGUGAAACUAGCCCUUCUAUUGGUCUGCGCAUUCGGCGGAUGCUCCGGUAAUAAGAAACCACUCUGUGACCCCGACUUCAUUGCGAAACGUCUUGGAGACAACCCGAACGCGUGGAAGUUAAUUUCGCAAAGCAGCCCCAGAUAUCAUUUGGUGUUCCACUCAAAUGCGAGCUUCGAAGGAAAGUACAAGUGUUUGUGCACCACAUUCUCCGGUGCAGACCUCCACGACAAAUGGAAAAGGACUGUAAAGUAUCAUUACUCUGAAAAUGAGGAGUCAACAAAACACGGAGCAAGUACCAUGUGGUCAAAUAAAACAAGUAAAAAUUUUGUUUACGACAAUGAACUUAGCGCGACCUACUACAACAGAAUAAACACGAAACAUUCCUUUUCUUUUGUUAAGAUGAUUAGCAACAACCGAAUAAUUUACACGGAUCAAAAGACAUGUAUACUUAUGAAGUCAGAAGAACUUGGUCACCAAGUCUGGGUGCAGACGGACUACUUACUAAGGAAGACAAAGAUACCUUACAUGUGUGUCCUGUUUUACGAAGCCUGCGCUGGAAGGACAAAAAUUUGGGCGUACGAUUGGCAAUUUUGUCCUUUUCACGGUUACUGUUCCAAAACUGCACAACAAUAACUUCUAGGUAUCAAUAAUUUUGAGCUCUUUCUUCAUGUACGUUUUGAAUAAAAUUCAAUAAAUCGUUUUUUCAGGU